This is a long non-coding RNA of Neodiprion fabricii, 1341 nucleotides long. RefSeq lists it as uncharacterized. The transcript is spliced from 5 exons. The record is from RefSeq and is a predicted model, not a curated record. Lineage: Eukaryota; Metazoa; Arthropoda; Insecta; Hymenoptera; Diprionidae.
CGGAUCGCAUGGAUUGCACCAGCCGUAUCGACUACUCUGACGAUCCUGUAUCCGGAGGACUUGACGUGCCUCGAUGUGGGGAUUUCCAUAUGCUGAAAAUCGAAAUCCAAGCGUACCGGGUGUUUGAACUCGGCAGGACUUCAUCCAGCAGCAUAAGAAUCAGAAAAUACCCAGAAGCCAUGGAUAUGAACCUGAACUAUAAAUAUCUGAUGAGUAGCACGCGAGGCGGAGCUGGUGCCGAGUUCAUUGUCAUAGUGAUUGCGAUUGCAAUGAUGGUUCCAUCCAUGAUUGACAAUUUGAAGUAGCUAAGAGGCAUGAGCCGGUGGGUAAUGGUUCGGAGAAUUACGUCAAUGGAAAUGGAAUCCCAAGUGUGUCUAUUCGGAGAAGAACACGUAAAGGCCUUGUCGAGCACCACGGCCAACGCUUGGGUGUCCGACACACUCCAUAGGCCACCAAUGUCAGCUGGAUGAUUUUUCGCCAAUCACUCUUCGCGUGCAACGCCUCGGCUCCAACAUUCCGGAAGAGAAAGGGCCUCAACAAGCAGGGUGACACUCAAUGCUUUGGGAUAGGGCCCUUAUUCGACACCGUCUGGCAAAGCAUUCCCACCUGAAUAAAGCAUGGUGAUGAAAUGACCAAAGAAUGUCAUCCGGUCUCAAGUAAGAAAGUGGAAGGUGAAUCUGGUGGCACCCCGCUUGUCACAACCAGUCGACGCGACGAUGAAGACGACGGAUGAUUAGCUCUGCGAGGCCCAAAUCAUCAGCAGUAAUGUGAUCUUUCACUUUUUCUCACCAUUUCUACUGCUUCGGUAGCGUUGUGAGAAUCUUUUACCAUUGGAGAUGCUUCGACUAUGUGGGUACUAGAUAGGCUGGAGUCCGUACAAUAAGGUUCUGACAGAGAAAUCACGAAAAAACGAUCACGCUGCGACUGCACAAGCACCUACCCUACCAGUCAGCUGAUGAUUAUAAUCGGUGUGUUGGCAUAUGCUGACUUAUAAACGCUAGAUCGUCUUUGUACGAGAUAAAAGUGAGUGUCAGUUUGAUGUGCUGUUAGUAAUCCUGCUGAAUGGACUGAAGUAGGGUCGGAGUUUGCAAUAAUUAUAUAUUCAAAUAAACAUAUUUUGCAAUCUGCGGUUGGUAACACUCAAGAACAUAGAGUCUAUCUAUUCUGUGAAUAAGUCCGUGUCGUCUUCACGGUGCAAUUAUCGACACAUCUGCGUGAGAUGAAUGAACAUGUUAUUAUUUUAAAUCGUUGACUUACUGUGUUUCAUUAGCAUACAAAUAUAUUCAUGUUCUCGGUUAAUAGAUGAAAACUAGGAAUAUCUAAUGAAAUGUGUACCUGGAA